RNAcentral lists this small RNA (640 nucleotides) under Pan troglodytes (chimpanzee). RNAcentral describes it as "processed transcript". The record is from RNAcentral. Lineage: Eukaryota; Metazoa; Chordata; Mammalia; Primates; Hominidae.
GGCCCAGUGCCCUGUUUUAGCCUCUGCCCAAGGUCCCCUCUGUAAGGCACAGGGUCCUCUUUCAAUAAGGAGGAGAAAGGACAGAGCACUGAAUCAAAUUCCUUCCCUGGUCCCCAAGGAAAGAAGAAAACUUUUAAGGUAUCUAGUCUGGAGCACAGAAACUUAGAUCUUCUUGGUUAAAUAUUCAUCUUUGUUCCUUCAUAAUGUGUAGAUAAAGGCUGUUCCCCUCUUCUCCUCAUCCUAACUCCCUAAAAGCACUGCAAGUCUUGCUUAUUUCCUAGAACUUUUGCUUUCCCUUUCUUUUUCUUAGUUGGAAAGUUGUAUAGCAGAAAACUUUUUAUGUGGGCCUGAGAAGACUCCUAAAGACUUUCCUUCCCCUUUGCAUUUCAGACAGAAAAGGAUAUCAUCUUGCGGGAGGACUUAGAGGAACUGCAGGCCCGCUAUCCCAAUCGCUUUAAGCUCUGGUUCACUCUGGAUCAUCCCCCAAAAGAUUGGGCCUACAGCAAGGGCUUUGUGACUGCCGACAUGAUCCGGGAACACCUGCCUGCUCCAGGGGAUGAUGUGCUGGUACUGCUUUGUGGGCCACCCCCAAUGGUGCAGCUGGCCUGCCAUCCCAACUUGGACAAACUGGGCUACUCAC